RNAcentral lists this transfer-messenger RNA (363 nucleotides) under Salmonella enterica. Its description in RNAcentral is "Standard tmRNA". It matches the Rfam family "transfer-messenger RNA". From Rfam's summary of the family: Bacterial tmRNA, also known as 10Sa RNA or SsrA, is named for its dual tRNA and mRNA-like properties. RNAcentral also lists the same sequence under 3 other names. Lineage: Bacteria; Pseudomonadati; Pseudomonadota; Gammaproteobacteria; Enterobacterales; Enterobacteriaceae. The record is from RNAcentral.
GGGGCUGAUUCUGGAUUCGACGGGAUUUGCGAAACCCAAGGUGCAUGCCGAGGGGCGGUUGGCCUCGUAAAAAGCCGCAAAAAAAUAGUCGCAAACGACGAAAAAUACGCUUUAGCAGCUUAAUAACCUGCUUAGAGCCCUCUCUCCCUAGCCUCCGCUCUUAGGACGGGGAUCAAGAGAGGUCAAACCCAAAAGAGAUCGCGUGGAUGCCCUGCCUGGGGUUGAAGCGUUAAAACGAAUCAGGCUAGUCUGGUAGUGGCGUGUCCGUCCGCAGGUGCCAGGCGAAUGUAAAGACUGACUAAGCAUGUAGUACCGAGGAUGUAGGAAUUUCGGACGCGGGUUCAACUCCCGCCAGCUCCACCA